UUUGACUCUUCGUCUUAUUUGAAAUUUUUUACGAUUAAUAUUUUUAAUCUUACUAGAUGAUAAAACAUGAAUACUACUUUAUGCGAUUAAUAUUUUAAAUUUUAUAGAAUUUUUUCAAAUAAGACGAAUGGUCAGACACGAAAA
This 144-nucleotide microRNA precursor is filed under the name Oryza brachyantha (malo sina). RNAcentral describes it as "MIR812 microRNA precursor family". It matches the Rfam family "MIR812 microRNA precursor family", at positions 27 to 187 of the family's 205-position model. The record is from Rfam by way of RNAcentral. Lineage: Eukaryota; Viridiplantae; Streptophyta; Magnoliopsida; Poales; Poaceae.